This is a non-coding RNA of Gossypium hirsutum (cotton), 119 nucleotides long. The record is from Rfam. Lineage: Eukaryota; Viridiplantae; Streptophyta; Magnoliopsida; Malvales; Malvaceae.
GGGUGCGAUCAUACCAGCACUAAUGCACCGGAUCCCAUCAGAACUCCGCAGUUAAGCGUGCUUGGGCAAGUGUAGUACUAGGAUGGGUGACCUCCUGGGAUGUCCUCGUGUUGCACCAC